Molecule: ribosomal RNA, 503 nt
Filed under: uncultured bacterium
Lineage: Bacteria
Description: partial 16S ribosomal RNA
Rfam family: Bacterial small subunit ribosomal RNA
Source: RNAcentral
AUUGAACGCUGGCGGCAGGCUUAACACAUGCAAGUCGAGCGGGGUGAUGGUGCUUGCACUAUCACUUAGCGGCGGACGGGUGAGUAAUGCUUAGGAAUCUGCCUAUUAGUGGGGGACAACAUCUCGAAAGGGAUGCUAAUACCGCAUACGUCCUACGGGAGAAAGCAGGGGAUCACUUGUGACCUUGCGCUAAUAGAUGAGCCUAAGUCGGAUUAGCUAGUUGGUGGGGUAAAGGCCUACCAAGGCGACGAUCUGUAGCGGGUCUGAGAGGAUGAGCCGCCACACUGGGACUGAGACACGGCCCAGACUCAUACGGGAGGCAGCAGUGGGGAAUAUUGGACAAUGGGGGGAACCCUGAUCCAGCCAUGCCGCGUGUGUGAAGAAGGCCUUAUGGUUGUAAAGCACUUUAAGCGAGGAGGAGGCUCUUUUGGUUAAUACCCAAGAUGAGUGGACGUUACUCGCAGAAUAAGCACCGGCUAACUCUGUGCCAGCCGCCGCCGUAA